RNAcentral lists this unclassified non-coding RNA (378 nucleotides) under uncultured Actinomycetes bacterium. RNAcentral describes it as "uncultured actinobacterium contains 16S-23S intergenic spacer region". Lineage: Bacteria; Bacillati; Actinomycetota; Actinomycetes. The record is from RNAcentral.
UCCGAGUUGACCCCGGCAGUCUCCUAUGAGUCCCCGCCAUCACGUGCUGGCAACAUAGGACGAGGGUUGCGCUCGUUGCGGGACUUAACCCAACAUCUCACGACACGAGCUGACGACAGCCAUGCACCACCUGCACACAGACCACAAGGGAAUACCUAUCUCUAGGCACGUCCUGUGCAUGUCAAACCCAGGUAAGGUUCUUCGCGUUGCAUCGAAUUAAACCACAUGCUCCGCUGCUUGUGCGGGGCCCCGUCAAUUCCUUUGAGUUUUAGCCUUGCGGCCGUACUCCCCAGGCGGGGCGCUUAAUGCGUUAGCUGCGGCACGGAACCCGUGGAAUGGAUCCCACACCUAGCGCCCAACGUUUACGGCGUGGACUAC